UCUACUGUAGUCAACUAUGACGUAGGAUUUAAGAUCCUAAGGUAUAACAAAUCUUUAGAA
This 60-nucleotide transfer RNA is filed under the name Bragasellus molinai. RNAcentral's name for it is "transfert RNA-L2(TTA)". The record is from RNAcentral. Lineage: Eukaryota; Metazoa; Arthropoda; Malacostraca; Isopoda; Asellidae.